CAGUCGCCACGGUAAUACGAAGGGUGCAAGCGUUAAUCGGAAUUACUGGGCGUAGAGCGUGCGUAGGCGGUUUGUUAAGUCUGUUGUGAAAUCCCCGGGCUCAACCUGGGAAUGGCAAUGGAUACUGGCAAGCUAGAGUGUGUCAGAGGAUGGUGGAAUUCCCGGUGUAGCGGUGAAAUGCGUAGAGAUCGGGAGGAACAUCAGUGGCGAAGGCGGCCAUCUGGGACAACACUGACGCUGAGGCACGAAAGCGUGGGGAGCAAACAGGAUUAGAUACCCCUGUAGUCCCUGUCUCUUAUAC
Molecule: ribosomal RNA, 301 nt
Filed under: uncultured bacterium
Lineage: Bacteria
Description: partial 16S ribosomal RNA
Rfam family: Bacterial small subunit ribosomal RNA
Source: RNAcentral